ACUAAGCGGAGGAAAAGAAACUAACAAGGAUUCCCCCAGUAACGGCGAGUGAAGCGGGAAGAGCUCAGGUUGAAAAUCCGGCCUUCGGGCCAGAAUUGUAGUCUGUAGAGGCGGCGCCUCCCGCCGGCCGCGGCGAAGUCUGAUUGGAAAUGAGCAUCANGGAGGGUGAUAGUCCCGUUCGUGCCGCGGUCGUCGUGCGGAAUGAUGGCCCGUUUUCGACGAGUCGAGUUGCUUGGGAUUGCAGCUCUAAGUGGGUGGUAAACUCCAUCUAAAGCUAAACACGCGGGGGAGACCGAUAGCGAACAAGUACCGUGAGGGAAAGAUGCAAAGAACUUUGAAAAGAGAGUUAAAGAGUGCCUGAAAUCGCUGGGAGGGAAGCGAGGGAAAGCAGUGUCUGGCGGUUAAAUCGCUCCCCCNNAGCCCUUCGGGGCUCGGNNUGCGCUCCGCUGUUGCCAGGGCCGGGUGGGGCCCGCGGGAUACGCGCCGCCGGGUAAGGUGGCCCAUGCGCCCUCGGGCGCGCGGGUGAAUACCGGCGUUUGCUGCGACCGUGGUCCCGGCCGGCCCUGACGAAAUGCUUUUCCUCACCCCGUCUUGAAACACGGACCAAGGAGUCUAACAUGGACGCGAGUACAGGGGUGGCAGAAACCCCGGUGCGCAGUGAAAGUGAACGCAGGUGAAAGGNNGCAUCGAUGNNGCCNGCANCAUCGACCGACCAUGUCUCUUCGGGGGCGAGGUUUGAGUGUGAGCGUGCAUGUUGGGACCCGAAAGAUGGUGAACUAUGCCUGAAUAGGGCGAAGCCAGGGGAAACUCUGGUGGAGGCUCGUAGCGAUUCUGACGUGCAAAUCGAUCGUGAGAUUUGGGUAUAGGGGCGAAAGACUAAUCGAACCAUCUAGUAGCUGGUUCCCUCCGAAAUUUCCCUCAGGAUAGCUGCAGCC
Molecule: ribosomal RNA, 935 nt
Filed under: Padina sanctae-crucis
Lineage: Eukaryota; Phaeophyceae; Dictyotales; Dictyotaceae
Description: eukaryotic LSU rRNA
Rfam family: Eukaryotic large subunit ribosomal RNA
Source: RNAcentral